GUGGGGAAUAUUGGACAAUGGGCGCAAGCCUGAUCCAGCCAUGCCGCGUGAGUGAUGAAGGCCUUAGGGUUGUAAAGCUCUUUCAGUGGGGACGAUAAUGACGGUACCCACAGAAGAAGCCCCGGCUAACUUCGUGCCAGCAGCCGCGGUAAUACGAAGGGGGCUAGCGUUGUUCGGAUUUACUGGGCGUAAAGCGCACGUAGGCGGAUCGUUAAGUCGAGGGUGAAAUCCUGGAGCUCAACUCCAGAACUGCCUUCGAUACUGGCGAUCUUGAGUCCGGAAGAGGUGAGUGGAACUCCUAGUGUAGAGGUGGAAUUCGUAGAUAUUAGGAAGAACACCAGUGGCGAAGGCGGCUCACUGGUCCGGUACUGACGCUGAGGUGCGAAAGCGUGGGGAGCAAACAGGAUUAGAUACCCCUGUAGUCC
RNAcentral lists this ribosomal RNA (425 nucleotides) under uncultured bacterium. Its description in RNAcentral is "bacterial SSU rRNA". It matches the Rfam family "Bacterial small subunit ribosomal RNA", at positions 354 to 796 of the family's 1533-position model. The record is from RNAcentral.